Molecule: long non-coding RNA, 774 nt
Organism: Pezoporus flaviventris
Lineage: Eukaryota; Metazoa; Chordata; Aves; Psittaciformes; Psittacidae
Exons: 3
Source: RefSeq, a predicted model, not a curated record
AUUGUCUUCAAAGUACCAAUAUUUUCCUAUAACUUAAUGGUUUCAUAAUGUGAUGUUUUGUAUUAAUAACAAUCUUUUUAAGGUCACACAGUUAAUCACAUAUGUAUUAAAGAGCAGUUAACUAAUGAGGAUGGCAACUUAUUAAUAAAUUGCAGAUGAUACACUUCCGUUACUCAAUGUAACCUUUAAAGAGCAGAGCUAAGACUGAGGGUUGACUUAAAGACUUUUUGCCUCCCUUUUCCUAGAGUUUCUUCUUGAGUUUUUUCUUUCCCAAAGUCUAAGCUUUGCUUGUAUGCUUUUGUCACAGUCCUGCUGUAACCAUAUGGAGAGCUUUAGCAAAGCAAGAACAUGCAGCUGAUGCUUUGACAGAAAAGGUGAAGAGGUUACUCGAAUUGUACUACUGUUAAUUUGUCCUUUAAGCAUCUACAGCAGGGAGUCUAUAAUGGCACCUCUGGAUGCAGAAGAACAAAUCCCCAGAAUACCACCACCUCCUGUCAAUGAAAAUGGGAAGAGUAGAAAGCUCCAAGUAUCUCUUUAUGUUUCCCCAAUCAUCCAGGUAUACUGUUUUCAUCCUUUUAAUCAUACAGAUAAACCCCUUUUUGUCAUUUCUCAAUAUAUUACUGCAUCAUGAUCACAUAUAACAAAUAAAUACUUAAGUGUUGUCAAAGCCCGUGUUGCACAUGGUCAUAUAGCCAAACCUCCUAGAGCAGGGUACAGACAUACCUGUAUGUCUAGCUAACAUUAUCACAUGUGUUCUAGAAGUUCCCUGUACUA